RNAcentral lists this ribosomal RNA (326 nucleotides) under Escherichia coli. RNAcentral describes it as "partial 23S ribosomal RNA". It matches the Rfam family "Bacterial large subunit ribosomal RNA", at positions 1 to 354 of the family's 2925-position model. Lineage: Bacteria; Pseudomonadati; Pseudomonadota; Gammaproteobacteria; Enterobacterales; Enterobacteriaceae. The record is from RNAcentral.
GGGUUGUGAGGUUAAGCGACUAAGCGUACACGGUGGAUGCCCUGGCAGUCAGAGGCGAUGAAGGACGUGCUAAUCUGCGAUAAGCGUCGGUAAGGUGAUAUGAACCGUUAUAACCGGCGAUUUCCGAAUGGGGAAACCCAGUGUGUUUCGACACACUAUCAUUAACUGAAUCCAUAGGUUAAUGAGGCGAACCGGGGGAACUGAAACAUCUAAGUACCCCGAGGAAAAGAAAUCAACCGAGAUUCCCCCAGUAGCGGCGAGCGAACGGGGAGGAGCCCAGAGCCUGAAUCAGUGUGUGUGUUAGUGGAAGCGUCUGGAAAGGCGCG